Molecule: non-coding RNA, 385 nt
Organism: Plutella xylostella (diamondback moth)
Lineage: Eukaryota; Metazoa; Arthropoda; Insecta; Lepidoptera; Plutellidae
Source: RefSeq, a predicted model, not a curated record
UUCGGAGCUCGGCGGGGCCACCGUCGACUAAAAUAUAAUGCGAAAUCCAAGAAAUUGAAGCUGAUUUAGCUAUGUCGGACAUAGAUCUCUCGGAGGACGAUGACAUGACGACAUAAAUGACUCACCAUGAACCCGUAGAAUUUGAAUUUUGUGAUGAUGAUAUCCAGGAGCUGCUAGCUGAGCCUUUCAUUUUAUCUUAUUUUGUUCCUAUAUUGAUCCCAAUAAUUAUAAUAGAUGAUAUGUAAGAGUUUAUCUAGAAUAAAUAUAAGUUCUAAACUUAUGUGAGACUGAUUUAAAGUGUUAAAUGUGUUCCUAAGUGGUUCUUAUUUCAUUAGUUUUGUUAUUUCUAACAAAUUACCUUAUAAAUAUAUUUUCUACCAAUAAA